UACGUAGGGUGCGAGCGUUGUCCGGAAUUAUUGGGCGUAAAGGGCUCGUAGGCGGUCUGUCGCGUCGGGAGUGAAAACUCAGGGCUUAACCCUGAGCCUGCUUCCGAUACGGGCAGACUAGAGGUAUGCAGGGGAGAACGGAAUUCCUGGUGUAGCGGUGGAAUGCGCAGAUAUCAGGAGGAACACCGGUGGCGAAGGCGGGUCUCUGGGCAGUAACUGACGCUGAGGAGCGAAAGCGUGGGGAGCGAACAGG
This 253-nucleotide ribosomal RNA is filed under the name uncultured bacterium. Its description in RNAcentral is "partial 16S ribosomal RNA". It matches the Rfam family "Bacterial small subunit ribosomal RNA", at positions 524 to 776 of the family's 1533-position model. The record is from RNAcentral.